GAUGAAGAACGCAGCGAAAUGCGAUAAGUAAUGUGAAUUGCAGAAUUCAGUGAAUCAUCGAAUCUUUGAACGCACAUUGCGCCCCUUGGUAUUCCGAGGGGCAUGCCUGUUCGAGCGUCAUUAUAACCCCUCAAGCUCUGCUUGGUCUUGGGCGUCACCGGUCCCCGGUGUGCCUUAAAAUCAGUGGCGGCGCCAUCUGGCUCUAAGCGUAGUACAUACUCUCGCUACAGACGUCCGGUGGAUGCUGGCCAGCAACCCCCAAUUUAUCAAGGUUGACCUCGGAUCAGGUAGGGAUACCCGCUGAACUUAAGCAUAUCAAUAAGCGGAGGA
RNAcentral lists this unclassified non-coding RNA (330 nucleotides) under soil metagenome. RNAcentral describes it as "partial contains 5.8S ribosomal RNA, internal transcribed spacer 2, and large subunit ribosomal RNA". The stretch from base 1 to 120 matches the Rfam family "5.8S ribosomal RNA", at positions 35 to 154 of the family's 154-position model. The record is from RNAcentral.